GGAUGAAGAACGCAGCGAAAUGCGAUAAGUAAUGUGAAUUGCAGAAUUCAGUGAAUCAUCGAAUCUUUGAACGCACAUUGCGCCCGCCAGUAUUCUGGCGGGCAUGCCUGUUCGAGCGUCAUUACAACCCUCAGGCCCCCGGGCCUGGCGUUGGGGAUCGGCGGAAGCCCCCUGCGGGCACAACGCCGUCCCCCAAAUACAGUGGCGGUCCCGCCGCAGCUUCCAUUGCGUAGUAGCUAACACCUCGCAACUGGAGAGCGGCGCGGCCACGCCGUAAAACACCCAACUUCUGAAUGUUGACCUCGAAUCAGGUAGGAAUACCCGCUGAACUUAAGCAUAUCAAUAAGCGGAGGA
Molecule: unclassified non-coding RNA, 354 nt
Filed under: soil metagenome
Description: partial contains 5.8S ribosomal RNA, internal transcribed spacer 2, and large subunit ribosomal RNA
Rfam family: 5.8S ribosomal RNA (bases 2-121)
Source: RNAcentral